Molecule: small nuclear RNA, 111 nt
Filed under: Nannospalax galili (Upper Galilee mountains blind mole rat)
Lineage: Eukaryota; Metazoa; Chordata; Mammalia; Rodentia; Spalacidae
Source: RNAcentral
GUGCUUGCCUCUGCAGCACAUACACGGAAACUGGAAUGAUACAGGGGAGAUCAGCACGGCCCUCGUGCAAGGACAGGCAAAUUCGUGAAAAAGAAAAGUGAACACUCUGUU